Molecule: ribosomal RNA, 554 nt
Filed under: uncultured bacterium
Lineage: Bacteria
Description: partial 16S ribosomal RNA
Rfam family: Bacterial small subunit ribosomal RNA
Source: RNAcentral
UAGGGAAUCUUCCACAAUGGACGCAAGUCUGAUGGAGCAACGCCGCGUGAGUGAAGAAGGUCUUCGGAUCGUAAAGCUCUGUUGUUGGUGAAGAAGGAUAGAGGCAGUAACUGGUCUUUAUUUGACGGUAAUCAACCAGAAAGUCACGGCUAACUACGUGCCAGCAGCCGCGGUAAUACGUAGGUGGCAAGCGUUGUCCGGAUUUAUUGGGCGUAAAGCGAGCGCAGGCGGAAUGAUAAGUCUGAUGUGAAAGCCCACGGCUCAACCGUGGAACUGCAUCGGAAACUGUCAUUCUUGAGUGCAGAAGAGGAGAGUGGAACUCCAUGUGUAGCGGUGGAAUGCGUAGAUAUAUGGAAGAACACCAGUGGCGAAGGCGGCUCUCUGGUCUGCAACUGACGCUGAGGCUCGAAAGCAUGGGUAGCGAACAGGAUUAGAUAUCCUGGUAGUCCAUGCCGUAAACGAUGAGCGCUAGGUGUUGGGGACUUUCCGGUUCUCAGUGCCGCAGCAAACGCAUUAAGCGCUCCGCCUGGGGAGUACGACCGCAAGGUUGAAAC